Long non-coding RNA from Oncorhynchus tshawytscha (Chinook salmon), 307 nucleotides. Lineage: Eukaryota; Metazoa; Chordata; Actinopteri; Salmoniformes; Salmonidae. The record is from Ensembl.
ACCCACGCAACACACAGUGGUAGAUCACUGAGGGGGUGGAGUCUUCACUGGCUGAUACCAUCACACCACACAUCUAGAGAGGUGGAGGGGGGGCGGAGCCAGAGAGAGAUGGAGGGGGGCGGAGCCAGAGAAUGGUGGAUUAGUACUACAGUACUAACCUGUAUAACCCCAGCAGUACUAACCUGUAUAACCCCAGCAGUACUACAGUACUAACCUGUAUAACCCCAGCAGUACUAACCUGUAUAACCCCAGCAGUACUAACCUGUAUAACCCCAGCAGUACUACAGUACUAACCUGUAUAACCCCA